RNAcentral lists this ribosomal RNA (215 nucleotides) under uncultured bacterium. RNAcentral's name for it is "partial 16S ribosomal RNA". It matches the Rfam family "Bacterial small subunit ribosomal RNA", at positions 29 to 271 of the family's 1533-position model. The record is from RNAcentral.
AAUGAACGCUGGCGGCAUGCCUAACACAUGCAAGUCGAACGAAGGCUUCGGCCUUAGUGGCGCACGGGUGCGUAACGCGUGGGAAUCUACCCUUAGGUUCGGAAUAACAGUUGGAAACGACUGCUAAUACCGGAUGAUGACGUAAGUCCAAAGAUUUAUCGCCUAGGGAUGAGCCCGCGUAGGAUUAGCUAGUUGGUGUGGUAAAGGCGCACCAA